This 326-nucleotide long non-coding RNA is filed under the name Cricetulus griseus (Chinese hamster). RNAcentral describes it as "lncRNA (ENSCGRG00015033951.1)". The record is from RNAcentral. Lineage: Eukaryota; Metazoa; Chordata; Mammalia; Rodentia; Cricetidae.
CCGCCUACGACUCCCGGCAGCCCCCGCGCGCCUGGCUCGCCGGCUCUCUGGCUCUCUCGCUCUCCCCCCCCCCCCACCUCCAGCGCGCUGCUUGGCGCUGGAGAAACUACAGUUCCCACGAGGCCUCGCGCCAAGCGGCUUGGAAGUGGGCAGCCUGGAAGUCACUCGGGCCACCGGAGCUGGCGGCGUCUCUAGCGAGCCGCGCGGUGCGGGACGCCGCGGUCGAGGAGCCCGCGGGGCGUGCAGCCGGGACGGCUAGUGCUGGGGAACAAACCCUGGGCCUUCCGUAUGCUAGGCAAAUGCUUUACUACCAAGGUGCACAUCCC